RNAcentral lists this long non-coding RNA (320 nucleotides) under Lathyrus oleraceus (garden pea). RNAcentral's name for it is "Pisum sativum (pea) long non-coding RNA (PSAT_LNC037624)". The record is from RNAcentral. Lineage: Eukaryota; Viridiplantae; Streptophyta; Magnoliopsida; Fabales; Fabaceae.
GACACACAAAAAUCUUACACCAAACUUUUAUCUCAUGUUUAGCUCGCAACCUUUAUAUAAAAAUAUCAAAGUCAAAAUAAUAACCCUCUCUUGAUUACAUUAACAAACUAACAAGAGUUUGCACAAGAUAACUCUAGUUAAAUUUUUGCUCUCUUAACAUUAAAAUAGUAUUUAAAUGAAUAUGAUAUUUAUAAGAGCAUGAUAAUGAGAAAAAGAGAGAUUAUUUUCAUAUUUCUUGUGUAUUUCCAAAUGAUCACAAAUCCUCAUUUAAUAGUAAAAAAAUUGGCCAACAUAGGAAAAAGAUUUAUGACUGAUCCACA